This 371-nucleotide unclassified non-coding RNA is filed under the name soil metagenome. RNAcentral describes it as "partial contains 5.8S ribosomal RNA, internal transcribed spacer 2, and large subunit ribosomal RNA". The stretch from base 1 to 120 matches the Rfam family "5.8S ribosomal RNA", at positions 35 to 154 of the family's 154-position model. The record is from RNAcentral.
GAUGAAGAACGUAGCGAAAUGCGAUAAGUAAUGUGAAUUGCAGAAUUCAGUGAAUCAUCGAGUUUUUGAACGCACAUUGCGCCCCCUGGAAUUCCGGGGGGCAUGCCUGUUCGAGCGUCUCAGGGACGAACCCUCGCGCGGGUGUACGCGCGGUCGUGGCUGCGGUGGCGUGCCCGAGGCGGCGGCCACCGCGCUGGAAUCCAUGGGCGGACGCCUGCCGCGUGGCCGAGCGUGAUAUGACGCAUUGGCGCUCGCACGCGGCGAGGCUGCCAGCCCUGGCCCGUCUGUCGGGCGGGGGAGAGCAAGACACGUGAACUCCUCGAAUCAGGUAGGGAUACCCGCUGAACUUAAGCAUAUCAAUAAGCGGAGGA